This 97-nucleotide signal recognition particle RNA is filed under the name Gammaproteobacteria bacterium. Its description in RNAcentral is "signal recognition particle sRNA small type". It matches the Rfam family "Bacterial small signal recognition particle RNA". From Rfam's summary of the family: The signal recognition particle (SRP) is a universally conserved ribonucleoprotein involved in the co-translational targeting of proteins to membranes. Archaeal SRP consists of a 7S RNA and homologues of the eukaryotic SRP19 and SRP54 proteins. Lineage: Bacteria; Pseudomonadati; Pseudomonadota; Gammaproteobacteria. The record is from RNAcentral.
UUCUGGUUCCCUCGCAACGAUAAACCGUGAACCCCGCCAGGCCCGGAAGGGAGCAACGGUAGCGGUGAUCUCGUGUGCCGUGGUGUAGCUGGGAUGG